GUUUCCCCUUUCUGGUAAAAUUAUAAUUUUCUUAUUAUCUCCUAAAUCACAUUAUGUCUUAUCAAAUUCACCAAUCAAUCUCGUAUUAUACCUAUUUAGCAUCUUAAGUGGAAAUUUUCGAUGAGGAGAAUUAAUACUGCGGCUACAAUCUAAAAUCCUUACACUACUUACCUGGUUUGUCGGUCGUCAUUCGAAGCGACAUCAGUUGGUACCAUAAAAUAGUCGAACUAAAUCUUGCAGGUUAUAGGUUUGAUGAGCAUGACCGGGACUCGGCCCACUUAAGGCUGCAAUUUGCUCGCUAUCCUGGUGCAAGGUCAGGAGGUGGGCAUCGUGGGAGACGUUAGAGUUACGAAUUUCUGCAGGACCCAAUCCGUUAAGGCGAUUUACGAUUAUGAGUAUCACAGCUUUGGAGUUCAAUGGAAAGGUCAAUGAUGAUUAGGAUCGGCUUGGAUUAUGUUGGUUUCCAUUAAUCGGAGAGUGAACUCUCGUGUCUAAGGCGUGUUAGCCUUUACGUUUUUCCUUCACUUUAGUUCCGUCUCUCAUAUUUCCUGGACUGCACAGAUGCUAUGUUUUAUUAGUAGAAGCAUAUUCAAAGGAUGCUUCGUUUAUUUCUUGGGAUUAAAAUGUCACCAUUUAGAUAUUUUGUAAUAAUCAGAUUUAUGGAUGCUACCUUUUUAUGCUGCCUAUUAAUUGAUGUCCAUUUGUUAUGGUGCAUUAUGGAUUGGUCCUUGGUCUUCAAA
Molecule: long non-coding RNA, 740 nt
Organism: Olea europaea var. sylvestris
Lineage: Eukaryota; Viridiplantae; Streptophyta; Magnoliopsida; Lamiales; Oleaceae
Exons: 2
Source: RefSeq, a predicted model, not a curated record